Long non-coding RNA from Zea mays, 321 nucleotides. RefSeq lists it as uncharacterized. Lineage: Eukaryota; Viridiplantae; Streptophyta; Magnoliopsida; Poales; Poaceae. The transcript has 3 exons. The record is from RefSeq and is a predicted model, not a curated record.
UGUACGAUAUCUAUGUUCCUGACUGGGAGUACCAGACAUCAGCUCCUGGCUCCACAGAGAAGCAUUUCUUUGUGAAAUGUGGAGUAAGAGGUGACACCAGCCCAGGCUGCAAUGCAGUUGGCAUGAUCGACCGUAAAAUCCUGGGCAUCCAGCAUCUCUACGCCCGACCUGUUUAUGCACGAUCCAAGCAAUGCAGCAUCGACUCUCCACAAAAUGGGCCCCUUCCUCCUGAUGCGCCCUCUUGGUGCCAGGCCCCUUUUGACCCCCAUCUUACAACGUGGUGGACGAGGAGGACAAGCCGGCGGCGGUGGCGGAAGUCGG